CCGGGACGGCUGCACGCACGGGCGGGAGUGCAAAGAGGGGGCGUCCAGCCUGAGUCCCAGCAGUGAGUGAGUUCCCUGGCUUGAGGAUGGAGACCGACCCAUGGCGGGCACGCGUUGGUCAGGGGAAGAGAGUCUCUCCACCAUUUCUGCCAGAUCGUUUUCCGUCGCGGGGAGUCCUGGGCACUGCGGGAUAUUGUGCGGCUCCCCUGGCUUCUCCCCGCUGGAUGCUGUUAGCAUCCCGAGACUAGUUUGACAGCCAAGGAUGUCUCCAGACAUUGCCGGAUGUUGCCCCAGCUUGAGACCACGGCUCUAGAAGAAGCACCACUUCUACUUGGAGUUCACCCCCCUAGAAAAGGCCUGCCCUCUGGAGGGGCCACCGUGCGUGGUGCGGCCGUGCCGGGAGGAGCGUCCUCUACGCAGACCCUGCCGCCUGCAGAUGGAAGACGCACGGGGAGCAGGGGGCUCACUUUCCACCUCCCGACCUGGGGUCGCCACAGCUGUUCACUAGCUAGCUGGUCCUGCUUGACCACAUGGGUCACCUACCAGGCCACAGUUUUGUCCUCUUAAGUAAGGGUGGCCUGAGCCCCCACGGCUCAGUUCUAGAAACACCUGACUCUUCUCCUCAGCGUUUCUACUCCUGUGAUGAGCCCCAAACCAGCCUCCUGGAGAGAACCAGGGAUGACGGUCAGCAGCUGCCGGAGAGCCUGGUCCCCAGCGACCAGGGCCCUGUCCCUGCCUGCAGGGAUGCCCUUAAAGACCAGGCCCUGGUCCUGUCCACUCUGGCCAUGAACAAGGUCACCAGGGCUGGCCCCUGGGGUCAGAGGAGCGGGCGCCCUGGUUUCCAUGGCACUGGCUUGCAGUGGCCCAAUUCCUCCUCACAUGUGUGUGUGGUUCCUCUGCACACACGCAUGCACACACUCACAAGGUACACGCACACACACGUGCACACACACCCAGGCACCAACAUCUCCCCUGGGUCGUGCCCCAGGAUGAAGGAAAAGCCAGAAUCCAGAUGUUGGGAGAACAUCCAGCCUGUGUCAGGGCCCGUUGAGAAGGGGUGGUGCAGGACAGCCCGGCUCUACCCCAGAGCUCCGCCCGUCGGGCCUGCGGCAGUCAACGCUGCAUCUUCUUGGGAGCCCCUGUUUUGGACUGAGCAUGACUAAUGCAGGAGCGGACCUGGAGGAGAGUGGAGCGCAGCCUCAGGCUCUGCUCACACCACAGCCUCCUGGGCAACUGUGCAUCGUGCUCCCGCGAGGGACACGGAGGGUUUUGGUCCCUGAGCACCCGGAGGCUGAACUGAGAACGAGGUACAGAGAUGCCCUGAAACACAGCUGGGGGUGCUGUGGGUCUGCCCACUUACCAGGUGCAGUUGUUACAGCCUCGUUUUCACGUUUUCUGCGGGACUUGACUGCCCUUUGUACCCCCCCGGGAGCAAACACGAGCGUCAGCCCGCAGCCGCCAGCCGAAGGUCACGGAUUCUACCCUGCACUUACCGCUGAUGGUCAACAGGGGGUGUUAAUCAACAGCUUUAUCCUGUUCUGCUAGGUGGUAACUGCACAACUCAGAAGAUCUCAAAUUUCAACUUAUUUAUUAAACAUAAAUAUCUAGUGUACUCCUUGAAUCUUAGAGUACUUUUAUCACUUUGUUAAAUUUCACUUGUUUCCUUUAGCCUCAAAACAAAUUUUCCUGAAUGUCUACAAAGAGACUUUAAAA
Mirounga angustirostris (Northern elephant seal) is the source of this 1713-nucleotide long non-coding RNA. RefSeq lists it as uncharacterized. Lineage: Eukaryota; Metazoa; Chordata; Mammalia; Carnivora; Phocidae. The transcript is spliced from 3 exons. The record is from RefSeq and is a predicted model, not a curated record.